Molecule: long non-coding RNA, 771 nt
Filed under: Hordeum vulgare
Lineage: Eukaryota; Viridiplantae; Streptophyta; Magnoliopsida; Poales; Poaceae
Description: long non-coding RNA (HVUL_LNC006083)
Source: RNAcentral
GGUGCGGAACCAGUGGCACAACAGCUUACUGCUCGUCCCUUAACUGAAACACCACCAUGAGCAUCAAUUUCUCGUUCAUGUGUGCUGUAGACUGCUAUUGUUGUGUCAUGGUAGCUCUGAGGGCCCUCACAGUUAGGUCGUUGGCUGCUUCUGUGAAACUGUACGUUCAUUGUUCUUCAGCAGAACAAAUAUUCAAGCUUCAAGCCGUAACUUCCGCUUCCACUGGCCUUGGUUGAAUCUUGAGAUAUAUUGGAUGUUACCCGUGUAUUUGUUGAUUUGCUGUUGGAUUGAACAUUUUCCAUCUUAUUUUGCAUGUUUUGCGUUCCUGUUCAUGUAAUGUGGUCUCUGGGAUAAAAAUUCAAAUUUGGUUUUUGGUUAAUUCCACAAGUUAAAACAGAUAGUUUGCCCAUGAAAGUAUGGUUUUAGAUAAUGUACAAACAUGCGCUUGCAUAUUUUUGCAUUAAGAAGUAAAGCAUGAUAUCAGAUAGUGCUAAAGGUCAAGUUCAAUACUAGACUACAGAUGAGGCAACUUUUACAACACAGGAAGGCAACAUGCACACUAGCUACUCAUCAUGAUGGUUCGCACAACCAUGCACACACUAGCUACUCCUCAUGAUGGUUCACACAACCAAAAGUUGAAAACCGGUUGCGACAGCUCCAUUUGUGCCUUGGUGUUGUAUACCACGGCCAGAAGGUUCAUCUUGUGCUUCAGAGUACUUCUAUGCAUAGAAAGCCGCAACCCUCCAAACUCCAAAGAGUUAGUUGCCAAGG